GCUACGGGAGGCAGCAGUGGGGGAUAUUGCACAAUGGGGGAAACCCUGAUGCAGCGACGCAGCGUGUGGGAAGACGGUCCUCUGGAUUGUAAACCACUGUCCCCAGGGACGAAAAUGACGGUACCUGGGGAGGAAGCUCCGGCUAACUACGUACCAGCAGCCGCGGUAAUACGUAGGGAGCGAGCGUUGUCCGGAAUUACUGGGUGUAAAGGGAGCGUAGGCUGGUGUGCAAGUUGGGUGUCAAACUACCGGUUAAACUGGGAGUCGCACUCCAAACUGCAGCUCUUGAGUGAAGUAGAGGCAGGCGGAAUUCCUAGUGUAGCGGUGAAAUGCGUAGAUAUUAGGAGGAACACCAGUGGCGAAGGCGGCCUGCUGGGCUUUUACUGACGCUGAGGCUCGAAAGUGUGGGGAGCAAACAGGAUUAGAUACCCCGGUAGUC
Molecule: ribosomal RNA, 439 nt
Filed under: uncultured bacterium
Lineage: Bacteria
Description: partial 16S ribosomal RNA
Rfam family: Bacterial small subunit ribosomal RNA
Source: RNAcentral